UACAGUACUGCGUCACGAAGUUCCCCUCCGCGUGUAAUAAAUCCGUGUUAAAAAUAUUCGAAGCUAUGUAGGAAUAGCACGGUUUGCUUUCAAAGUUCCCGGAAACGUUUGUGAGGCUUUUCAAAUCCAUCCUCAGGUGUUGUGAACGAGAACGCGACGGCUAGGUAAAAGUUCGUAAAGCUCCCUCAGGUCAGAUCUUAUAGAUGUACUUUUUUGAGAAAUGCAGAAGACAUUGGAUACCGGUACUAAUGGUGGCCCACCCAGUGCAUACUAGAGUUGAGAACAUAUCCUUCCAGAAGAAAUCGACAGAACAGAAGCUUGAAAUGACAGACUCUGCUGUGUGGUUCAGUCUCCUCCACCAGUGAAGGCAGAGUGGCACCCGCUGUAAGCAACCUGUGCUUCUGUUAGCCAAAUGAAGACCUGGAGAACCGAGGACAUGGGUAGAGCAUUUCUGCUUCAGUGAGAAAUCCCUCUGUAGUAAUAUGUAUGAGGGACCAGCUGACCAGAAGAUCCUGCCAACCGAAUGAUGGUCUGGCUUGAAAUAUCAUUCCCGGAGGGCACAAAACCUGACCGGUGAAUCUGGUUUUAAAAAAAAAAUCUCAGCACAAACCUGCACUGGGAUUUAAAAUGGGUAAAGAAAGAGAUAUAUGUCUGUUUCUUUUGCCUAACUUGACCUUACAGAUGUUAAGACUUUUUUUUAUUUUUUAUUAUCGCUUCUACUGUUCCCCCUCCCUCCCGAAAGUGUGAGGAAUGUUAGUGAUGAGGACAUUUAGAGGAGGUUUAUUUUGGUAAGGGAUGUAAUGAGCAUGAUUGUGUGCUGAUUACACCCAGCCAACGUACUGGAGUGUCUUGGGUGAGCUACGAAGAGGAGAUGAGGGUAAAAGCGAGCGGUGACAAGCCUCAUUAACGGAAAAUACUCUGCUCCGCUGCCGAGGCCCUGCUGUUGAUGAGGAACCUAACUGCUAGACUCUCUAAUUAUGCGCUGUAACCGCCAUCCCACAGAAAGCAAUAACCCCCACCUCUCCGCAUAUGCAAAUAUGACAGACCCGAUCAUUAGGUUUUAUGCCUCAAAGCCAAAUUGUUAUUGUAAAACCAUUGAAGCCAAGGGCAAAGACGUAAAACUCUAUCACGCAUUUUGACACAUUUUUUACGAGCUUUCCCCAAUAACAGAACAAAUGUUAUUGAAUGUCAUGGAUAGUCAAGGGUAAUGUGCCGUGAAAGUAUUGUUUCAAAUCAGAACAAUUAUUUGAGGCUUCGUUGAAAAAAAAAGAUGUCGAUUUUUGGAGCCAAGAAUGUAUAAUUUGGCUCGUUCUCCACUCCGUGUUUCCCAGCAUUUUGGUUAGCGUGCCAUAUUGAAAUUUCAUAAUGAU
This is a long non-coding RNA of Puntigrus tetrazona (Sumatra barb), 1370 nucleotides long. RefSeq lists it as uncharacterized. Lineage: Eukaryota; Metazoa; Chordata; Actinopteri; Cypriniformes; Cyprinidae. The record is from RefSeq and is a predicted model, not a curated record. The transcript has 3 exons.